UAGAUGCCAUCCAUACCAACUGCAUAGAUUUGGCCAUCUCAGUUUACUAAGGCGUAUAACAAAGCUAUUGCUUACAGAUUUGUACGAAGCUUGAGUGCCUGGAGUAAGAAUGAUAUCAACAGGAGUUGAGAAUACAGGAAGCAAAAAAGCUGGAGAAGGUGGAUUUCUCAACCUUGCCUGUUUUAUGUAAGAAAAUUGGUAUGAUCUCUCUCGUAUUCUCCAAACUCCACCGUGCUUUAAGAUAACUUACUUUAGGACUUUCUCUUCUGCCCAUUUAUAAAGUCCUUCACCAAGAUGCCAGAUUUCGCCUUCAAGAAGACUGUUUUCACCAUGGUAUUAUACUUCUCUCCUUAGAACCACCAGUAAUCUUCUUACCUAUG
Odocoileus virginianus texanus is the source of this 380-nucleotide non-coding RNA. Lineage: Eukaryota; Metazoa; Chordata; Mammalia; Artiodactyla; Cervidae. The record is from RefSeq and is a predicted model, not a curated record.